RNAcentral lists this transfer RNA (30 nucleotides) under Ophiocaryon klugii. RNAcentral describes it as "partial tRNA-His". The record is from RNAcentral. Lineage: Eukaryota; Viridiplantae; Streptophyta; Magnoliopsida; Proteales; Sabiaceae.
CGGAUGUAACCAAAUGGAUCAAGGCAGUGG